RNAcentral lists this small RNA (96 nucleotides) under Leishmania major strain Friedlin. RNAcentral describes it as "Leishmania major c/D snoRNA". The record is from RNAcentral. Lineage: Eukaryota; Euglenozoa; Kinetoplastea; Trypanosomatida; Trypanosomatidae.
ACGCGUGAUGCAUAAUUAAUCGACCAAUAAUCGGAGCGUGCCGCCUGCGCGGUGGCGUGCGUGAAGUCAAACCAAUGCAAUAUAUGUGGCUGACUG